UACGGUGGGGGCAAGCGUUGUUCGGAAUUACUGGGCGUAAAGGGCUCGUAGGCGGCCAACUAAGUCCGACGUGAAAUCCCCAGGCUUAACCUGGGAACUGCGUCGGAUACUGGUUGGCUUGAAUCCGGGAGAGGGAUGCGGAAUUCCAGGUGUAGCGGUGAAAUGCGUAGAUAUCUGGAGGAACACCGGUGGCGAAGGCGGCAUCCUGGACCGGCACUGACACUGAGGCACGAAAGCGUGGGGAGCAAACAGG
RNAcentral lists this ribosomal RNA (253 nucleotides) under uncultured bacterium. Its description in RNAcentral is "partial 16S ribosomal RNA". It matches the Rfam family "Bacterial small subunit ribosomal RNA", at positions 524 to 776 of the family's 1533-position model. The record is from RNAcentral.